Molecule: long non-coding RNA, 1163 nt
Organism: Oncorhynchus nerka (sockeye salmon)
Lineage: Eukaryota; Metazoa; Chordata; Actinopteri; Salmoniformes; Salmonidae
Exons: 5
Source: RefSeq, a predicted model, not a curated record
CACUCAGAGAGCACCACAGAGAGAGACAGCAGCAGCAAACCAAAGACCGCACUACUACUGUCCCCCUCUCCACCUCUUCUCUCCACUACUACUGUCCCCCUCUCCACCUCUUCUCUCCACUACUACUGUCCCCCUCUCCACCUCUUCUCCACUUCUUCUCUCUCUGUGUCUCCCUUGUUCAUCUUGUCAGGUCAGUGUGGAUGUGAGAUGGGUUGUGGAUAUUCCUCAACGACCAGCAUGGCUGGAGGAGGUCCAGCCGAAGCCUCCAAAGAAGAAGUCACAGAGGAGUCUGCACAAGAAGAAGAAAAAAGGAUGAACUAUGGAGGUGUGUAUGUGGGACUACCAGCAGACCUGAGCAUUAUGCCUCCUAUCCAGAUGGGAACACACCAAGAUGAGUGAAGCAUCAUUGAAACACCUUUCACUAAAGGUAUGAUGUCAACAGCCCCAGUCUCAAUAUCCUAUGUUAAACUCUCUGCCUCAAUCUCCUAUGUUAAACUCUCUGCCUCAAUCUCAGAAGUUCAUCUUUUGGGACUCUCACACCCACUACAGAGAGAGAGAGAACCUUCAGGAUAAUGAUGAUGCCAGCAAGAAUGAAGGAAUGAAUUGUUCUCUUUGAUCUCUGAUUGGCUCCAUGGGACCCAGUAGAACCCCUGGGGGACCAAUCAUCUCCCUCUCUCGUGCCAUAGGAACUGAACUGGGAUCAGUUUCUAAGGUGAGUAAUCAGACAAUGGGUCAUAUGCUCACCAUGGAUGUGACUGCUCAGGAAUCAGCGUUGUGUUUAAUAGGCACAAAACAGAAGAAAAAAGUCUAAAACUAAAUGAAAGGGAGAGGUACUUGUCCAAUAAGAAAUACUUGUUUUCAUUUGGGUUACACAACAUUUGAAAACAGGCACCCUAAUGAACACGACCCAGGUCAAAGGGCAUCACGGAUGUUGGAGUCGGCAUUCACCACUCAGGAUCAUGAGACAAGACAACCUUCUACUCAGAACUAAAUGUCAGACGGGAUCAGAUAGGCCUAUUCAGAUCUCAGCAAUACCAGGAAACAAAACAAGACCUCUCUCAGAACUCCUUUUCAAAUAUUUCUUGAUUUUCUCUCUCUGUCUCUGAGUCAAUAGUUCUCAGAAAUUCUCUCAAUAGGAGCUGGAUCAAAUGUUCCCCAUUGUA